Long non-coding RNA from Equus quagga, 1090 nucleotides. RefSeq lists it as uncharacterized. The transcript has 3 exons. NCBI's taxonomy places the organism in Eukaryota, Metazoa, Chordata, Mammalia, Perissodactyla, Equidae. The record is from RefSeq and is a predicted model, not a curated record.
GGUUCACAGUCCCACUCGUCCCCGGCCGCAGAUUGUCUUCUCUCGGGGUGCAGCCCAGCGGGCGCCGCCCCGCCGCUGCCCGUCGCCGCCUUGCCCGGGCGGUUCCGCUAGGCCGCCGCGCCGUGCGACCCCGGGCGGGGCGGCCAGGGCCUCCUCUGGGUGCUGACGGGGCGUGCAUUUGCUUCUGGUGAUGGGAAUAAAGCCUUUCUUCAUCCCAGUUAGGAUAGCUGUUUUCAGAAAACUCAGAAAUUCCUAAGGGUUCGCCGGGUUGCGGGGAAGGUGGGGCGCUGUGCGCCGUUGGUGGGAUGUAAGAUGAUGCAGUGGCAGUGGAGAUAGCCCCGGGAUUGCUCAAGAGAGUAACGUGGAAUUACCGUGAGAGCCGGUGAUGCCGCUUCUGGGGAUAUACCCAGAACAGGGUCUCAGGGGUGUGUCCCCCCGUGUUCACAGCAGCAUCACUCACAAAGCCCGACGGGGGAAGCCCCACAGUCUGCUGACGGAUAAAGGUGUCGAUAGUGUGCAGACGUCCCAUGGGAUGCUGUUCAGCCGUGAAAGGAAGGGGAUUCUGACACCUCGCGCAACAUGGAUGGACCCUGAGGACAUCACGCUCGGUGAAGCAAGCCAGUCACACAAGGACGGACGCCGCACGAUUCCACUCUUGUGAGGCCACCACGGGAGCGACGUCUGCAGAGACGGAAAGCGGCCUGGCGGGGGCGGGAGCCCGAGUUGAACGGGGACGGUUUCAGUUUUGCAAGAUGCAAGGAGCUCAGAGAUGUGAAUGCAUUAGUGCCACGAAACUACACUUAAAAACGGAAGAUCAGCCCUGAGCUAACAGCUGUACCAGUCUUCCUCGACUUUGCAUGUGGGAUGCCGCCACAGCACGGCUGAUGAGUGGAGGAUCCCAGACUUGGAGCUGAAGAAGCUGGCAACCCAACAAAAAAAGCCAUCAAAAGCCUAUUCUUUCUAGCCAGAGGACUAAGCAAAGGGCAGCCUAGCAAGACAGAAAAUCUUUGGUCAAGAACUGCUGUACUCCAGCCAAACACCACAGAAAAUACUGUGGCCCCACCCCCACCUCUACCAAUGAAGGCCAAGA